This 426-nucleotide ribosomal RNA is filed under the name uncultured Actinomycetes bacterium. Its description in RNAcentral is "bacterial SSU rRNA". It matches the Rfam family "Bacterial small subunit ribosomal RNA", at positions 233 to 671 of the family's 1533-position model. Lineage: Bacteria; Bacillati; Actinomycetota; Actinomycetes. The record is from RNAcentral.
GCGGCCUAUCAGCUUGUUGGUGAGGUAAUGGCUCACCAAGGCGACGACGGGUAGCCGGCCUGAGAGGGCGACCGGCCACACUGGGACUGAGACACGGCCCAGACUCCUACGGGAGGCAGCAGUGGGGAAUAUUGGGCAAUGGAGGAAACUCUGACCCAGCGACGCCGCGUGCGGGAUGAAGGCCUUCGGGUUGUAAACCGCUUUCAGCAAGGAAGAAGCGAAAGUGACGGUACUUGCAGAAGAAGCACCGGCUAACUAUGUGCCAGCAGCCGCGGUAAUACAUAGGGUGCAAGCGUUGUCCGGAAUUAUUGGGCGUAAAGAGCUCGUAGGUGGUUCGUCACGUCGGUUGUGAAAAUCUGGGGCUUAACCCCAGACCUGCAUUCGAUACGGGCGAGCUAGAGUGUGGUAGGGGAGACUGGAAUUCCU